AGGUCUUGACAUCCCUCUGACCGCUCUAGAGAUAGAGUUUUCCUUCGGGACAGAGGUGACAGGUGGUGCAUGGUUGUCGUCAGCUCGUGUCGUGAGAUGUUGGGUUAAGUCCCGCAACGAGCGCAACCCCUAUUGUUAGUUGCCAUCAUUCAGUUGGGCACUCUAGCGAGACUGCCGGUAAUAAACCGGAGGAAGGUGGGGAUGACGUCAAAUCAUCAUGCCCCUUAUGACCUGGGCUACACACGUGCUACAAUGGUUGGUACAACGAGUCGCAAGCCGGUGACGGCAAGCUAAUCUCUUAAAGCCAAUCUCAGUUCGGAUUGUAGGCUGCAACUCGCCUACAUGAAGUCGGAAUCGCUAGUAAUCGCGGAUCAGCACGCCGCGGUGAAUACGUUCCCGGGCC
RNAcentral lists this ribosomal RNA (403 nucleotides) under uncultured bacterium. RNAcentral describes it as "bacterial SSU rRNA". It matches the Rfam family "Bacterial small subunit ribosomal RNA", at positions 976 to 1380 of the family's 1533-position model. The record is from RNAcentral.